UAGGAAGUGGAGCUGGUUUGAAUUGCUGUGCAAGCAGUGCAUCCCACUGCAGGUCAAUAAGCUCAAGUUGCAGGUCACACGGAAUGCUGUCAACAGUAAAUGUGUAAGGUUUUGAUCAGAAAUAGUAAUCUGCUGCAAUGUAGGAAAAUGGCUGAAAUCUUUGUUUUCUGUCUGAUGAGAGAAAAGGAGUACUUUCAUCAUAAAUGACUUGACACUGGAAUACAGUUCAUAAGCAAAAAGCCCUUUCCCUUGCAGUCAUGAAUUCAGAUCGUUCAUGUAGCCCAUGAUAUCAACGGCAAAUGCAAAAUCAGAGAGCCAAUUUGCAUCAUUCAGCUGUGGGAAAUCCAAAUCUUUUCCUUUCAUGUUCA
Long non-coding RNA from Gavialis gangeticus (Gharial), 368 nucleotides. RefSeq lists it as uncharacterized. NCBI's taxonomy places the organism in Eukaryota, Metazoa, Chordata, Crocodylia, Gavialidae. The transcript has 2 exons. The record is from RefSeq and is a predicted model, not a curated record.